UACGUAGGGCGCAAGCGUUGUCCGGAUUUACUGGGCGUAAAGUGUGCGCAGGCGGCCGAGCAAGUCGAGUGUGAAAGCCCCGAGCUUAACUUGGGAACUGCGCUCGAAACUACUUGGCUAGAGUGUGGCAGAGGGAGGUGGAAUUCCACGUGUAGCGGUGAAAUGCGUAGAGAUGUGGAGGAACACCGAUGGCGAAGGCAGCCUCCUGGGCCAACACUGACGCUCAUGCACGAAAGCGUGGGGAGCAAACAGG
Molecule: ribosomal RNA, 253 nt
Filed under: uncultured bacterium
Lineage: Bacteria
Description: partial 16S ribosomal RNA
Rfam family: Bacterial small subunit ribosomal RNA
Source: RNAcentral